This is a long non-coding RNA of Eleginops maclovinus (Patagonian blennie), 826 nucleotides long. RefSeq lists it as uncharacterized. The record is from RefSeq and is a predicted model, not a curated record. NCBI's taxonomy places the organism in Eukaryota, Metazoa, Chordata, Actinopteri, Perciformes, Eleginopidae. The transcript has 3 exons.
GACCACGACAGGACAGGAACAGCUUUGUGUUGCAUAACAGCACUGCCACAGUUGCUGGGAUGUGACAUUUAGAUGAGCUUUCACUGAGAGAGGGACUUGAGGUGGGGGAUAGCGAGGGAGGAGAAGGGCAAUUUUAGGAUAUAUCCUGCCCUGUCAAGAAGUGCUGAAGUUUGUAAGUUUGAGUAAGUCAGAUUGUUUUUGUGACAAAAAAAAUAGAUUUGAGGGGACAGAAUAUCCACCUACACAACAGGCUGGUGUUCAAACAUGCCAUCAGCAGUGUCUCUCUUAGAUAAAAACAGCAACAACAACAAGCAGCUGACGACCCAAACAACAUCUUCUUCGUCCAUCUUGAAAACCAGUUUGCUCCAAGUGGGAUAUUCAGAAAGACAGGGACCACCAGACUGGAAUUUGAGGGCCCAGCCGCGGCUCCUCGUUCAGCAGAGGUCCGUACUCCAGAUGAUAAACCAGAGCCCGUCCAGGAGGAAGCCAGCCCACGGACUGGUGCUUCUCAUCAGCCUAACAUGAAGGACAAUGAGGCUAGUGAGACACUCGCUCUCUCAUCGAUGAAAAAAAAGACACACAUUCACACACCCACAGCCUCAGAAGACAGUCACAACUUAAUCAUGUGAGCUGCUCCAUCCCUUGUCCUUAGCAUUGUGUUUGGCCCCGGGGACAACGCAUAUCGUCUUUGACAGUAGGCCUACUUACACACAGUCGUUAUCCAUGAAUUUACCAUGACUGUAUUGAUUUUAGGAUACUUUCCCUUUAUUGUAUGCAGUCACCUUUAAUCUGUAUAAAUGUGGUUGAAUGAAAAUCUUUGUAUGGA